AGCUAGCUGAGGUGGCCAACGACAAAGGGAAAGCAACCCUAGUUGCUGUCCUCAUUUCCAGCAGCCACAUUAGAAGAUACGAGCUCGAGUGGAGCGCGGUGACCUGCCGACACCCGCAGAUUUUGCUGUAUAUAAGUUUUGCAGACACAGGGA
Long non-coding RNA from Zingiber officinale, 153 nucleotides. RefSeq lists it as uncharacterized. Lineage: Eukaryota; Viridiplantae; Streptophyta; Magnoliopsida; Zingiberales; Zingiberaceae. The record is from RefSeq and is a predicted model, not a curated record. The transcript has 3 exons.